RNA transcript from Brachypodium distachyon (stiff brome), 1053 nucleotides. It is a transcript of the gene named acyl-acyl carrier protein thioesterase ATL4, chloroplastic, with no coding region annotated. The record is from RefSeq and is a predicted model, not a curated record. Lineage: Eukaryota; Viridiplantae; Streptophyta; Magnoliopsida; Poales; Poaceae. The transcript has 6 exons.
UCGAUCUCCACUGCUCUCUAGUCUCCCCCAAGAGCGGCAGCACACACAUCGAGCAGUACUACACGCAUUCUGCUAGCUAGCCUGAUUCACAUUUUCAAGCAUGCAGAGCCCGGCAGUGAACAACAACGCCAAGCUCUCGCCCGUGCACCAGGUAGCAAUUAGUGCUGCUGCUGGGGCUCGGCGUGUCUCGGGCGCCGGCAACAACGACCUAGCCGUAGUGCUCCAGCGGCGCCCACAUCGUCCCGUCGGGGCUCUGCUCGCUGUUGCGCCGCCCAACGCCAGUGCCCUUGCUGAAGCCGUGUGUACUACUACGACUGCCAAGAACAACACCAACAACGAGAAGCAGCUGCAGGACGUCAUCAAACUAAGGGAGGACAAAUAUUUUGAGACGGAGAUGACGGUCCAGGACUGCGAGCUUGACAAAUAUGGAGUCGUCAACAAUAGCAUCUACGCCAGUUACAUCGAAAAAGCUCGAGAGGAGCUGCUUCUGAGCCUUGGCAUCAGCACGGGCUUGAUCAUAUGCACCGGCAACUUGUUGGCGCUAUCGGAGCUGAAUCUCAAGUACUACACGCCUCUGAGGCGGGGUGACAAGUUCGUGGUGCGGGUGAGGCUCGUGCGGAUCAAGGGUGUGAGGAUAUUCGCCGAGCACAUCAUCGAGACGAUGCCGGACCGGAAGCUCGUUGUGGAAGCGACGGCCACCGUCGUGUGCCUCAACAAGGACUACCGCCCGACUCGCGUCUUCCCGGAGAUGUCCGACAAGCUGCAACGAUUCUUCUCAACCUAGCUUGGAUCAAUGGCUAGCUAGCUUAUUAGAGUACUCUAUGUGUCAUUUUGGAUCGGUUUGGAACAAAAAGUCGGCGUCCAGAACUCAGUCGGCGAGUCGGCUGGAUUCCCAGAUCAAUAAUUGUCGCCAGAGAAUUUCGUGCAGGGCAAGAACCAACGAAUUUAUUGCAGGUGGUUGCAAUAUGGCCAUCCGGCCGAUGCAUGGGCCAUCAGAAAUGGCCGGCUGUACGUGGCAUGACCAUCAGAAUGGCUGUAAAGGAUAUGCAUGUG